UACGGGAGGCAGCAGUGGGGAAUAUUGCACAAUGGGCGCAAGCCUGAUGCAGCCAUGCCGCGUGUAUGAAGAAGGCCUUCGGGUUGUAAAGUACUUUCAGUCGUGAGGAAGGUGUUAAGGUUAAUAACCUUAGCAAUUGACGUUAGCGACAGAAGAAGCACCGGCUAACUCCGUGCCAGCAGCCGCGGUAAUACGGAGGGUGCGAGCGUUAAUCGGAAUUACUGGGCGUAAAGGGCACGCAGGCGGUUAAUUAAGUUGGAUGUGAAAUCCCCGGGCUUAACCUGGGAAUGGCAUUCAAGACUGGUUAGCUAGAGUCUUGUAGAGGGGGUAGAAUUCCAUGUGUAGCGGUGAAAUGCGUAGAGAUGUGGAGGAAUACCGGGUGGCGAAGGCGGGCCCCUGGGACAAAGGACUGACGCUCAUGUGCGAAAGCGUGGGGAGCGAAACAGGGAUUAGAUACC
This 458-nucleotide ribosomal RNA is filed under the name uncultured bacterium. RNAcentral's name for it is "bacterial SSU rRNA". It matches the Rfam family "Bacterial small subunit ribosomal RNA", at positions 340 to 786 of the family's 1533-position model. The record is from RNAcentral.